ACCGCGGCAUCCUGGGAGGCGUAGUUCUCACUCCUAUGACAGAAAACGAGGGUGUGGCCAGCAAAGGACUUCAAGGCCCAUGAUCCCUUAGGAGGGGGCCGGCUGCAUUAGGGGUGGCUGCUGGUUUGUAACAAUGGGAAUAAUCCACAUGAGAGUUGCUCCUUCUGCCUGGGCCUGGGAAUGAGAAGACCUGUGGAGCUGAGCUACUGCUUACCCACAACCUGCAUAUACAUAAAUCAGAAGCCAGCACUGGUUGUUGUGAGUCGCUUAGAUUUUGGGCUUGAUGAAGAUGACCUUAGGCACAGUGACCCUGAAGGCCACAUGUUAAAGACAGUGGAGCCACAGGAUGGAAGGAAGCUGGUUCCCUGAAUCAUCACGUGGCAGAGAGCGGACCACUAAUCAGGAUCAUGUGUUUCAGAUUUCACUUGACCAAUAAAUCAAUUUCAAUUUUGUUACACUG
RNAcentral lists this long non-coding RNA (460 nucleotides) under Homo sapiens (human). RNAcentral describes it as "HSALNT0368360". Lineage: Eukaryota; Metazoa; Chordata; Mammalia; Primates; Hominidae. The record is from RNAcentral.